GACGAACGCUGGCGGCGUGCUUAACACAUGCAAGUCGAGCGGUAAGGCCCUUCGGGGUACACGAGUGGCGAACGGGUGAGUAACACGUGGGUGAUCUGCCCUGCACUUCGGGAUAAGCCUGGGAAACUGGGUCUAAUACCGGAUAGGACCACUGCCUGCAUGGGUGGGGGUGGAAAGCUUUUGCGGUGUGGGAUGGGCCCGCGGCCUAUCAGCUUGUUGGUGGGGUGAUGGCCUACCAAGGCGACGGCGGUUAGCCGGCCUGAGAGGGUGACCGGCCACACUGGGACUGAGAUACGGCCCAGACUCCUACGGGAGGCAGCAGUGGGGAAUAUUGCACAAUGGGCGCAAGCCUGAUGCAGCGACGCCGCGUGAGGGAUGACGGCCUUCGGGUUGUAAACCUCUUUCAGCACCGACGAAGCGCAAGUGACGGUAGGUGCAGAAGAAGGACCGGCCAACUACGUGCCAGCCGCCGCCGUAA
Molecule: ribosomal RNA, 478 nt
Filed under: uncultured bacterium
Lineage: Bacteria
Description: partial 16S ribosomal RNA
Rfam family: Bacterial small subunit ribosomal RNA
Source: RNAcentral